This is a long non-coding RNA of Vicia villosa (hairy vetch), 3146 nucleotides long. RefSeq lists it as uncharacterized. Lineage: Eukaryota; Viridiplantae; Streptophyta; Magnoliopsida; Fabales; Fabaceae. The transcript is spliced from 19 exons. The record is from RefSeq and is a predicted model, not a curated record.
AAUCUAUCAUAUAAGAAAAGUCUACCAUUUGGGACUUUCUUAGGCUGUCCACAUCAGCAACUCUUCUAUGGUUGAUCCACAUCAGCAACUUCACCCAUUCUGUUGUUCAAUUUAUUCUUCAAUUCACCUAUUCUGUUCUUCAAUUUAUUCUUCAAUUCUUUCACGUUAAACUUCCAGCGGUUACGUCCCCCCAUUGUCUCCACGGUUACGUAAUUAAUUUAUCAUUCAGCAACCACUUCCAAUCUUCUUCUUCUACAGCGGUUUCGCAAAACCGUUUCUCUUUCAAAUGCUAUUCUCAAUCAAAUUUCCGAGUUCGUCUUCCUCUGCGCGCAAAUCUGCUACUCUCAGUGAUAGAAUUCUCAAAUUUCCAUUUUAUUCGUUUAGGGUUUUUUUCCCUUUCUUCGAUUCAUAACAACAAAUACAUCACUCUUCAAAUGCGCGAAAGCUCGGGUAUUACAAAUAUUCUCUUCCUUCUCCUAUCGAAGCAAUUUUCAAGCGGUCUUCUGGUGGUCGAAAAACAUGGAUCUCCCUUUUGAUUUCGGUUCUGAGCUUUGCACCUGAUCUAUAAAGUGUUUGAUGAAAGUUCCAAACCAAUCUCUCUUAUUUUUUCCUAUUAGCGACGCAUCUACAUCGUCAUCUCGAGUUAUGCGGAUUGAUUGGUUCUUUGUAGUAUUUUGAUUUUCUUUAUGCUUUGAAUUUCAGGUGGCGAUUCGUUUCGAUUUGGGUUUCUCUUAUUAAGCUAAUUGUUCAUAAACGCUAGAGAGUCAAAGAGGAAUUUACUCGAACGAUUUACGGUUAAUCUGCGGCGUCGGAUCAGGCAACACAAUGGUGAAAUUGGGAGUGGAGCUUGGAGAACUAAGAGCAAGCGUCCUUGGGAGAUGGUUUUAUGUAUGUAUGGGUUCCCAACGAAUGUGGCUGCUCUUCAUGUUUUAAUCGAAUUCUGCUUUCUAUGUAUUAUGAGGUUGAGUGGGCUUGGCAACACCCUAUUGAAUCAUUGGCUGUAACAAAGCAUGAUGCGAACAGUGUGAACAAAAAGUAGCAGCCGGUACCAUGUAGUUGAUUUUGCCAAUUGCAACAUAAAACAGUUGGAGGUGUAGUUUGUAAACUAAUUAGCCAGAAAACAAGGUGCAAGAGGCUGCCUUGAGAUCAAUGCCAGACAUUGUUGUGGCUACUCCAGGACGCAUGAUAUACCAUUUACCCAAUUCUAUGUCAGUGAAUUUGGAUGAUCUUGCUGUUUUGAUCCUUGAUGAAGCUGAUCGUCUAUUGCAGCUUGGAUUUGAUGCUGAAAUUAAAGAACUUGUUCGCGUGUGUCCCAGAAAAAAGCAUACCAUGCUUUUUUCGGCAACCAUGCCCGAUGAGGUUGCAGAUCUUAUUAAACUUCCCCUAUCAAAACCAUUGUGUCUUUGUGUUUAUCCAUCUGCAAAACGGCCAGCAGCCUUGGCUGAAGAUUGUCAAGAUGUUCACUUCCAGGAAGAAAAUCAACAAAGAUAAGGGUGAUGAGCCAACUGAAUUUGAAGAAUCAGUUGGACAGGUUAUAUAUUGCUUAUUUUUGUUUGAUACAUGUGAUGUUUCUUCAAUUUGUUUAGUUUCAAUGUAGGUAGCAGCUAUUGUCAUGAUCCAUGGUGCGCCAUUCCUGACUGUUGAUUCAAAAGAGCCUCAGUUGUCUGCUGAGCACGAAACAAAAACACCGUUUUUUGUUGCUCCGAAUGAAGCUAUAGCAAUACUAACAUUAUAAAAUGGUUUUGGAAUACUUCCUAACGAGAGUGAAAGUGCAUCAACACCGUUGGAAACUUAAAAAUCUCCUGAAUAUUAUGUUAGUGCAUUGAAAUGUCGAAGGAUUCAAGUUGAUGGUGAAAUGGUGCCGGUUUUGUAUGUGGUUAAAUCAUCUCAAAAGAUAAGCCAUUUUUUUACACAGGUAUGAACCAACCUGUGAUGGCGUGUGAGGUUCCUAUUCUUCUAAAAGAAGCAGAUGUGCUAACUUUUUGUAUUUCCCUAUGACCAAUUGAUGCAGGAGCUAGAUGUGACAAAUGUUCGCGAGCUUGAAGAUUUUCUAAUUAAUGAGUGCAUGUAUGCGUUUGAAGCCGUCUCUUAAUAAGAUAGCUGAAUCUACUAACGGCCGUCCUUCUGAGAUGGGCAUGGUUGCUGCCUCAAGAAAGUGCGAGGUACUUGGAAGUUAAACUGUUCUGAAAAAAAUUGAAUCCUUAAUGCAUGCACUUGACUAGGAAGAGAUGCAAAUGGAAGAACUGACAAAGAAAAAUGCACGAGUCGAUGCACGUAAGAUCUUUAGAUUUUGUAUUAGAUGGGAAGUGAAGCUCUUAGAUAUUAAGGGCGGGAAUGCAUAAAUGUAACUCCCGAUCUCCUCAUGUUGUAAAUGCUGAGGUUGAUUCCAUGGGAGGUGUUGUGGAUGGCGGAGUUGGUAUAGGUUUGAAAACCUCUUCGUGCCGAUCAGCAUUUGAGAAGGAUCAAGCAGAGCCCAGACAGGAAUACAAUAGAAGGAUCUAAUGAUGGUCCUGACAAUGACAUCUUAUGCAAUUUAUUUCCUAAUGAUACAGGCCUUGAGCUUAAUCACCCAGUUUCAUUGGAAGUAAGUUGAAUUGUGGCGUGGGUUAUCAGCAUCUUUGCUUAUCUGAUAAUGCAAAUCAAGGUUCUUCACAUGAAUCAAAAAAAGGCCUCAUAGUUGGAACAAUUAUAGGUUUAAUGCUUCUUGAUUUUUUUGGUAGCGUUUUGUUUUUCUGGUGCAAAGGGUACAAGCGUGAUGUUUUUGAAGAUGUUCCAGGCUAUAUUGACAGCCAACAGGGAAAAGGUCAAAUAUAUGCUUAGAUCUCGCUCGAGUGCAAGGCUGUAACUGGGCUAUCACCAUGAAGUUAUGCGCGACAGGUCUUGAAAUCACCAUAUGCAGGCCUUGGCAGAAAAAGUUGAAAGGAUGAAAUACAAAUCGACAUUUCCGACGAAGUUGAUUAUCCCGUAGGUGCAGGUGUAUGAGCAUAUAACUUAUGAUAACUAAAAAAAGUACUAUUAUUUCCUUUAUUCCGCUUUUAAGAAAAAAGUGGAAAAAUUUUUCUUUAUAAGAAGAAUAGUGUUAGCUCAUUGUUGGUUUUUCAUUAAGUUUUAUCAAUAUCUUUUAUGGAAGUGUCAAAAUUUGUUGU